UCAAACUUGGUCAUUUAGAGGAAGUAAAAGUCGUAACAAGGUUUCCGUAGGUGAACCUGCGGAAGGAUCAUUAUUGAAUAAAGUUGGUUAGAUUGUAUGCUGGCUUUUUAAGAAGCAUGUGCACAUCUAAUCUAUUUUUAAUCCCCUGUGCAUCUUGUGUAGGCCUGUAUAUAUAACCUUUCGAGCUGGGACACAGCUCGGUUUAGAAACUGCUGUAUUCUGACACAGAUAAGCCAGCUAUUUCUUGAGUUUUCAGGUCUAUGUCUUAUAACACCCCAUUAAACUGUAUUGAAUUAUAUUAAAAAAAUAAUACAACUUUCAACAACGGAUCUCUUGGCUCUCGCAUCGAUGAAGAACGCAGC
Molecule: unclassified non-coding RNA, 362 nt
Filed under: uncultured fungus
Lineage: Eukaryota; Fungi
Description: partial contains small subunit ribosomal RNA, internal transcribed spacer 1, and 5.8S ribosomal RNA
Rfam family: Eukaryotic small subunit ribosomal RNA (bases 1-73)
Source: RNAcentral